RNAcentral lists this ribosomal RNA (435 nucleotides) under Lacticaseibacillus casei. RNAcentral describes it as "Lactobacillus casei partial 23S ribosomal RNA". It matches the Rfam family "Bacterial large subunit ribosomal RNA", at positions 1138 to 1571 of the family's 2925-position model. The record is from RNAcentral. Lineage: Bacteria; Bacillati; Bacillota; Bacilli; Lactobacillales; Lactobacillaceae.
UAGCUCACUAGUCGAGUGGCACUGCGCCGAAAAUAUACCGGGGCUAAGCAUAAUACCGAAACUGUGGGUGCACCCGUAAGGGUGCGCGGUAGGAGAGCGUUCUAAGGGCGUUGAAGGUCGAUCGUGAGGACGGCUGGAGCGCUUAGAAGUGAGAAUGCCGGCAUGAGUAGCGAAAGAUCAGUGAGAAUCUGAUCCACCGUAUGACUAAGGUUUCCUGGGGAAGGCUCGUCCUCCCAGGGUUAGUCGGGAUCUAAGGCGAGGCCGCAAGGCGUAGUCGAUGACAAGCAGGUUGAGAUUCCUGCACUAGUUUAUUUUGUUUAAGCGAUGGAGGGACGCAGGAGGCUAAGGAAAGCGCACGGCUGGAAAAGUGCGUCCAAGCCGCAAGUCUGGUGGCGAGUGAAAUGCUUGCGACCAUAAGGACAAGCGGUGAUGGGG